AGCUUUGCGCAGUGGUGGUAUUGCAGCCAAAGAGGUUUAUCUGAGGCUCAACUAUUGCUAAUUGAAAACUUUUUCCACUACCCCGCCAUGACGACUUGCAAUAUAGUCGGCAUUGGCAAUUUUUGACAAUCUUUACGGAGA
Small nuclear RNA from Aotus nancymaae (Ma's night monkey), 141 nucleotides. Its record names the gene U4. It matches the Rfam family "U4 spliceosomal RNA". Rfam says of the family: U4 small nuclear RNA (U4 snRNA) is a component of the major U2-dependent spliceosome. The structure of U4 snRNA from yeast and human has been reported. U4 snRNA presents a k-turn RNA motif in the 5p-SL related to recognition of Snu13 protein. NCBI's taxonomy places the organism in Eukaryota, Metazoa, Chordata, Mammalia, Primates, Aotidae. The record is from Ensembl.